AACGAACGCUGGCGGCAUGCCUAACACAUGCAAGUCGAACGAAACCUUCGGGCCUAGUUGCGCACGCGGGCGUAACGCGUGGGAACCUGCCCUUAGGUUCGGCAUAACUCCCCGAAGGGGGUGCUAAUACCGGAGAAUUUCUUCGGACCAAAGAUUUAUCGCCUUUGGUUGGGCCGGGGUUGGUUUAGCUGGUUGGUAGGGUAAAAGCCUAUCACGGCAUCGUUAGAUAGCUGGUUUGAGAGGAAGGUCAGCCACACUGGGGCUAGGACGCGGCCCGGAAUCCUACGCGAGGGAGGAGAGGGGGAUAUAGCAAAACGGCGGGUGGCAUGAACGAGCAAGGACGGGAAAGUGCUGAAGGCCGUAGGGAAGUGAAGCACGUUUAUCCGGGACGGUAAUGACGGUACCGGGAGAAUAAGCACCGGCUAACUUCGUG
RNAcentral lists this ribosomal RNA (433 nucleotides) under uncultured bacterium. RNAcentral describes it as "partial 16S ribosomal RNA". It matches the Rfam family "Bacterial small subunit ribosomal RNA", at positions 29 to 507 of the family's 1533-position model. The record is from RNAcentral.